AUGGAGGCUGCGACGGCCACCGCUUUUGUGGGUAGGAUCGCGCCGAAGCUCUUGGAGUUCUUAGCUGCAAAUCACAAGCUUCGACAGAACCUGGAGCACGACAUCACCUACAUCCAAAGAGAGUUUGCGUUAAUUUCUGCCGCCAUCCAGCAAGAUGAUGAGUGUCGCUGGAGGAGCGGCACCCUCGGCGACCAUGUGCAGAGGGCCUGGAUCCAAAUCAUACGUGACUUGGCGCAUGCCAUCGAGGACUGCAUCGACCGCUUCAUGCACCGGGUGACCAUCUCUGGGACGUCGACGUGGAUCCGUCAGGCUGUCUACCGGGUGCAGACGGUGACAGUACGGAAGGAGUUUGCCAAGGCGAUCCGUGAGCUCAAGAAAAUAUCACAAGAGUCAUCCAAGCUGAGAGAAACUUAUUACAACGCCAGUAUCGGUGCAGGCACCUUCCCGUCAGCAUCGUCGUCGGCAGUGGCAUCGGCACCUGAGACAACAACAGAGAUGGCCAUAGACGACACCGUUUCAGCUCGCAGCCCCGUGGGUAUGGACGCUCCCCGGGAUGAACUUCUGGAGCUGAUACAGCAGCAGCAGCAACAGCUUAAGGUGAUCUCUGUUGUUGGCUUUGAUGGCAUAGGCAAGACCCUCCUUGUCAGGCAUGUGUACCAGAGUAUGAUGAGCCAGUAUGAAGUAAGGGCUUGGGUUUGUGCAGCCAAUCAAAGGGGUGCAAGCGAUGUUGUCGAAGAGAUUCUUCGGCAACUUGGCAUCCCCACCACAUCCACCAAUGGUGGAGGUAACCUCAGCAAGUUCUGCCGAAUCCUCAGAUUGUGCCUUCAAACCAAGAGGUUCUUCAUCGUACUCGAUGACAUGAGGACAGAAUUUUGGCAUGAUAUUAAAGAUGCCUUUGUGGGGUUGAACGGCAGAGUUCUGGUGACAACGGCUAUUCAGUCAGUAGCAAAUGCCUGCAGCAGCUCAGCAGCCCAUGAUCAUGUGUAUGCAAUGAAAAGCCUUCCUGAUGGACACUCGAGGCAGUUGUUUUUCAAGGAAGCUUUCCAAGACGAUGAUCCGCCAAUCGGUAAAGAGGAUCAGCUUGGCUCGGAAGCACUGAAGAAGUGUGAUGGUUUACCCCUUGCUCUUGUUACUACAGCCCGGUACUUGCAAAGCACAGGUAAUCCGACGCGUGAAAACUGGGCAACAUUGUGCCACAACCUGGGAGCACACCUGGAAACGAAGGAGAUGUUAGCAAGAAUGAAGCGUGUACUUGUCCAAAGCUACACCAGCCUUGUUAAACACGAUGUCAAGACAUGCUUGCUAUGUCUAGGUAUCUACCCUAGUGGCCGUACAGUCAGGAGAGGAAGCUUGAUAAGGAAAUGGUGCGCUGAAGGGUUUAUCCCAGGAGAUUAUAUGUGUAAUGCUCUGGAUGCUGCUAUCGGCAAUUUCAAAGAGCUGCUCAACCGGAGCAUCAUCCAGCGUACAGAUGCCAGUAGCAAAAACAUCACAGAUCAGGUGAAGACAUACCAUACUCACGGCAUGAUGCUCGAGUUCAUCCUGCACAUGUCCAAGUGUGACAACUUCAUUACCUUGUUAUAUGAUCAGCUGGCCCCCCCACCCCCACCCAGUAAAAUCCGUUGGCUCUCCCUCCAUGAAGCAAGUGCCAGAGUGGCUAAUGAUCUAUCUCUUGUCCGAUCUCUGACAAUCUUCGGCAGGGCACAUGACUCUGUCUUGGAUUUCUCCAAAUAUGAACUGCUGCGGGUUUUGGAUCUAGAAGAAUGCGGUAACCACUUGGAGGACAAGCAUCUUAGGGAGAUAUGCAGCAACCUGUUAUUGCUCAGGUACCUAAGCCUUGGGGCCGCUAUUAAGGUUACGAUGCUCCCCAAAGAGAUUAAGAAGCUUCAACUUUUGGAGACGCUGGAUCUCCAACAAGGUGUAGGAGGCCGGAGAAUGCACAAGCUACAGACUUGGCUCUCAGAGAAUAGCAAAUUGGAAACAGUAGCAGGAUUUGUUGUGGACAACAACAAGAGCCAAGGAUUUGCACAGCUCAUAGAGCAUAUGAAACACUUGACAAAAGUGAAAAUAUGGUGUCAGCAGUCCAGUAAUAAUAGUAAGGAUCCCCUUGCCAGUGGCGGCGGCAGCAGCAGCAACAACAACAACAACUGCACUCAUCUCUCCGAAAAAGGGCCAUCAAGGGGUUCAUCAAGAGAAGCACCGACGUGA
Molecule: ribosomal RNA, 2205 nt
Filed under: Triticum aestivum (bread wheat)
Lineage: Eukaryota; Viridiplantae; Streptophyta; Magnoliopsida; Poales; Poaceae
Description: partial small subunit ribosomal RNA
Source: RNAcentral